GCUGUGUGAGUAAGAUUCACUGUGUCUAUGCUCUAUAGUGCGUUGGGUUUGCCGAUUCAGGGUUGUCCGUGGCUGCUGCAAGCGGCGUGGAGUAGAAGAAGGGGUUCUGCGUGGCUGUUGCAGGCAGUGUUGAGCAGAAGAAGGGUUGUUCGUGGAUGCUGCAGGCGGCGUAGAACAGAAGAGGAAUUUAGGAUUUAGGAAUUUUG
This 206-nucleotide long non-coding RNA is filed under the name Citrus sinensis (sweet orange). RNAcentral describes it as "long non-coding RNA (CSIN_LNC004881)". The record is from RNAcentral. Lineage: Eukaryota; Viridiplantae; Streptophyta; Magnoliopsida; Sapindales; Rutaceae.